AUGUAGGUAUAAGUAACGAUAAAGGGGGUAAGAUUCCCCCUCGCCGUAAGACUAAGGUUUCCCAGGCGAUGUCAAUCAGCCUGGGGUUAGUCGGGUCCUAAGUCUCAGCCGAAUGGCGAAGGCGAUGGCAGAUGCGGUUAAUAUUCCGCAACUCGCAUUAUCAGUGACGUGGAGACGGAGCAGUGACACUGCCGCGCCCUGACGGAAUAGGGCGUUUAAGUGCGUAGGUUAUGAUAGUGGCAGGCAAAUCCACCACUUGAGCUGAAACACGAAAGUACAGCACUUCCUUCGGGAAGCGUUGAGCGCAGGUAAUCAUACUUCCGAGAAAAUCCGCUAAACUUAAUGUAUAUGCGACCCGUACCGCAAACGGACACA
Molecule: ribosomal RNA, 375 nt
Filed under: uncultured Thalassiosira
Lineage: Eukaryota; Bacillariophyta; Thalassiosirophyceae; Thalassiosirales; Thalassiosiraceae
Description: partial Bacterial large subunit ribosomal RNA
Rfam family: Bacterial large subunit ribosomal RNA
Source: RNAcentral